This is a small nucleolar RNA of Salvia splendens (bonfire salvia), 87 nucleotides long. RefSeq annotates it as small nucleolar RNA snoR116. The transcript has a single exon. The record is from RefSeq and is a predicted model, not a curated record. Lineage: Eukaryota; Viridiplantae; Streptophyta; Magnoliopsida; Lamiales; Lamiaceae.
AGGCGGUGAUGUUGAAACAUAUACCAUCAAACUAUGAAAGCCUUGCUAUUUGGCUUGUUGAUGCGAAUUACUAACUAUUCUGAGCCU